AUUGAACGCUGGCGGCAGGCCUAACACAUGCAAGUCGAGCGCGAAAGUCUUCGGAUGAGUAGAGCGGCGGACGGGUGCGUAACGCGUAGGAAUCUACCUAGUAGUGGGGGACAACUCGGGGAAACUCGAGCUAAUACCGCAUACGCCCUAAGGGGGAAAGUGGGGGACCGUAAGGCCUCACGCUAUUAGAUGAGCCUGCGUAGGAUUAGCUAGUUGGUAGGGUAAAGGCCUACCAAGGAGACGAUCCUUAGCUGGUCUGAGAGGAUGAUCAGCCACACUGGAACGGAGACACGGUCCAGACUCCUACGGGAGGCAGCAGUGGGGAAUCUUGCACAAUGGGCGAAAGCCUGUUGCAGCCAUGCCGCGUGUGUGAAGAAGGCCUUCGGGUUGUAAAGCACUUUAAGUGGGGAGAAAAGGGUAGUCAUUAACACUGGCUAUCUGUGAUGUUACCCACAGAAUAAGCACCGGCAAACUUCGUGCCAGCCGCCGCCGUAA
This 495-nucleotide ribosomal RNA is filed under the name uncultured bacterium. RNAcentral describes it as "partial 16S ribosomal RNA". It matches the Rfam family "Bacterial small subunit ribosomal RNA", at positions 30 to 523 of the family's 1533-position model. The record is from RNAcentral.